This 190-nucleotide unclassified non-coding RNA is filed under the name uncultured fungus. RNAcentral's name for it is "sequence contains ITS1". Lineage: Eukaryota; Fungi. The record is from RNAcentral.
UUGUUACUUUUCGAUUGUAUCAACUACAUCCUCGUUACUUUCGGUGCUAAAGUGAUCAGGGGCGAAAGGCACUUGGAGAUGCCCGACGCCCCGAACGAUGCACAGGUGUGAAGAAAGAUGGGGCGAAGCCUCUAAAAAGAGCGCUCCUUAUCUUUCGCUAAUGAUCCUUCCGCAGGUUCACCUACGGAAA